RNAcentral lists this non-coding RNA (193 nucleotides) under unidentified. RNAcentral describes it as "Listeriaceae bacterium Lysine sequence". It matches the Rfam family "Lysine riboswitch aptamer". From Rfam's summary of the family: Riboswitches are metabolite binding domains within certain messenger RNAs that serve as precision sensors for their corresponding targets. Allosteric rearrangement of mRNA structure is mediated by ligand binding, and this results in modulation of gene expression. The record is from RNAcentral.
CGGUGAGGUAGAGGUUGCGAAAUUCACAAGUAACGCUGACGAGGUGCAUCACACACCGAUGACUCAUCGCGAAAAGGAUGCUCGCCGAAGUGAAGACAGGUGUAUGACUGCUCUUUAGCUGGGACUGUUGUCGAAAGAAACAGGACUGCCGUUUUUGCCAUUAGCUUGACGAAACGGAUGUGCUAUCUAACGC